UGGGGAAUUUUGCACAAUGGGGGAAACCCUGAUGCAGCGACGCCGCGUGAUUUAGAAGGCCUUCGGGUUGUAAAAAUCUUUUCUAUGGGAAGAAAAUGACAGUACCAUAGGAAUAAGGACCGGCUAAUUACGUGCCAGCAGCCGCGGUAAUACGUAAGGUCCGAGCGUUGUCCGGAAUCAUUGGGCGUAAUGGGUACGUAGGCGGGUAAGCAAGUUAGAAGUGAAAUCCUAUAGCUCAACUAUAGUAAGCUUUUAAAACUGCUCAUCUUGAGGUAUGGAAGGGAAAGUGGAAUUCCUAGUGUAGCGGUGAAAUGCGCAGAUAUUAGGAGGAAUACCGGUGGCGAAGGCGACUUUCUGGCCAUAACCUGACGCUGAGGUACGAAAGCGUGGGUAGCAAACAGG
Molecule: ribosomal RNA, 402 nt
Filed under: bacterium
Lineage: Bacteria
Description: partial 16S ribosomal RNA
Rfam family: Bacterial small subunit ribosomal RNA
Source: RNAcentral